Dendrothele bispora CBS 962.96 is the source of this 82-nucleotide non-coding RNA. The record is from the annotation of a GenBank genome assembly. Lineage: Eukaryota; Fungi; Basidiomycota; Agaricomycetes; Agaricales.
GGAGGUAUAACUCAGUUGGGAGAGCAGCAAACUGAGGUUAGCACAUAUUCUGAAGGUCCCACGUUCAAUCCGCGGUACCCCA